RNAcentral lists this ribosomal RNA (275 nucleotides) under uncultured prokaryote. RNAcentral describes it as "partial 16S ribosomal RNA". It matches the Rfam family "Bacterial small subunit ribosomal RNA", at positions 524 to 798 of the family's 1533-position model. The record is from RNAcentral.
UACGUAGGGGGCAAGCGUUAUCCGGAAUUACUGGGUGUAAAGGGAGCGCAGACGGCAGUGCAAGUCUGAUGUGAAAUCCCGGGGCUCAACCCCGGAACUGCAUUGGAAACUGUACAGCUGGAGUAUCGGAGAGGUAAGCGGAAUUCCUAGUGUAGCGGUGAAAUGCGUAGAUAUUAGGAGGAACACCGGUGGCGAAGGCGGCUUACUGGACGAAGACUGACGUUGAGGCUCGAAAGCGUGGGGAGCAAACAGGAUUAGAUACCCUGGUAGUCCCU